CGUAAGCGGACGUAUAGGGUGUGACGCCUGCCCGGUGCUGGAAGGUUAAGAGGAAAUGUGAAAGCAUUAAAUUGAAGCCCCAGUAAACGGCGGCCGUAACUAUAACGGUCCUAAGGUAGCGAAAUUCCUUGUCGGGUAAGUUCCGACCUGCACGAAUGGCGUAAUGAUGGCCACACUGUCUCCAUCCGAGACUCAGUGAAAUUGAAAUUGCUGUGAAGAUGCAGUAUACCCGCGGCUAGACGGAAAGACCCCGUGAACCUUUACUAUAACUUCAUAUUGAAAGUGGUUAUUGUUUGUGUAGAAUAGCUGGGAGACAAUGAAGUACAAACGCAAGUUUGUAUGGAGUCAAUAUUGAAAUACCAGCCUAAUUUUAAUUCUUUCUAACUUUAUACCGUUAUCCGGUGUAAGGACAGUGUGUGGUGGGUAGUUUGACUGGGGCGGUCUCCUCCAAAAGAGUAACGGAGGAGCGCAAAGGUAUCCUAAGUACGGUCGGAAAUCGUAUUAAUAGUGUAAGAGCAUAAGGGUGCUUAACUGCGAGACAAACAAGUCGAGCAGAUACGAAAGUAGGUUCUAGUGAUCCGGUGGUUCUGUAUGGAAUGGCCAUCGCUCAACGAAUAAAAGGUACUCCGGGGAUAACAGGCUAAUACCGCCCAAGAGUUCACAUCGACGGCGGUGUUUGGCACCUCGAUGUCGGCUCAUCACAUCCUGGGGCUGAAGCAGGUCCCAAGGGUAUGGCUGUUCGCCAUUUAAAGUGGUACGCGAGCUGGGUUUAGAACGUCGUGAGACAGUUCGGUCCCUAUCUACCGCGGGCGUAGGAAGUUUGAGAAGAGCUGCUCUUAGUACGAGAGGACCGGAGUGGACGAACCUCUGGUGUUCCGGUUGUCAUGCCAAUGGCAUUGCCGGGUAGCUAAGUUCGGAAUGGAUAACUGCUGAAAGCAUAUAAGCGGGAAACCAACUUCAAGAAAAGACUUCCCAGGUUAAAACCCUAAAGGGCCCUCGAAGAAGACGAGGUUGAUAGGCACGGUGUGUAAGAGUGGUAACCACUUUAAGCUAACGUGUACUAAUAGUCCGUGAGGCUUUAUCAU
This 1085-nucleotide ribosomal RNA is filed under the name Phaseolus acutifolius (tepary bean). Its description in RNAcentral is "bacterial LSU rRNA". It matches the Rfam family "Bacterial large subunit ribosomal RNA", at positions 1832 to 2925 of the family's 2925-position model. Lineage: Eukaryota; Viridiplantae; Streptophyta; Magnoliopsida; Fabales; Fabaceae. The record is from RNAcentral.